Molecule: long non-coding RNA, 313 nt
Organism: Callorhinus ursinus (northern fur seal)
Lineage: Eukaryota; Metazoa; Chordata; Mammalia; Carnivora; Otariidae
Source: RefSeq, a predicted model, not a curated record
GCAGACGCCGGGCGGGCCCCACGCCAAGGAACGCAGGCACCUGGAGAAGCUGAGAAGUCGAGAAAAUGGAUUCUCGCCUGGAGCCUCCAGAAGGAGCACAACCUUGCCAACACCUGGAUUUUAGGACUUCAGACCUCAAGAACUCUGUACUUUCCAGGCAGAAAGCACGUGUUAAACUAGCUCGUGAGCAUCCAGCAGAAGCUGAGGAAGCGGCAAACAGCAGGGCACAGGGCUGGGAAGGAGGAUCCGUUGGGAGCUCUCUCCGGGUCAGAGGCACGGGGGCCUCCGAAUAGCCACCACCUUACCGUCCCCA